RNAcentral lists this ribosomal RNA (253 nucleotides) under uncultured bacterium. RNAcentral's name for it is "partial 16S ribosomal RNA". It matches the Rfam family "Bacterial small subunit ribosomal RNA", at positions 524 to 776 of the family's 1533-position model. The record is from RNAcentral.
UACGUAGGGAGCAAGCGUUGUCCGGAAUCAUUGGGCGUAAAGCGCGCGUAGGCGGCCCUGUAAGUCCGUUGUGAAAGUCAAAGGCUCAACCUUUGAAAGCCGAUGGAUACUGCAGGGCUGGAGUCCGGAAGAGGCGAGUGGAAUUCCUGGUGUAGCGGUGGAAUGCGCAGAUAUCAGGAGGAACACCGGUGGCGAAGGCGGUUCUCUGGGCAUGUCCUGACGCUGAGGAGCGAAAGUGUGGGGAGCGAACAGG